GAGCCUAAAUACAUCAUAUUACGA
Molecule: non-coding RNA, 24 nt
Filed under: Arabidopsis thaliana (thale cress)
Lineage: Eukaryota; Viridiplantae; Streptophyta; Magnoliopsida; Brassicales; Brassicaceae
Source: RNAcentral